RNAcentral lists this unclassified non-coding RNA (1597 nucleotides) under Hermetia illucens (black soldier fly). RNAcentral describes it as "ankyrin repeat, SAM and basic leucine zipper domain- containing protein 1, transcript variant X2". Lineage: Eukaryota; Metazoa; Arthropoda; Insecta; Diptera; Stratiomyidae. The record is from RNAcentral.
CUCAAUUCGUAAACAGUUAGGCAGCAUUGUAGUGCAAAUUUGCCGGCUUCAAUUUGAGUUGUCGUUAAGAUGUAUAAAUACCGGCCCCCAGAUUCCGACUCGGACGACGGUUAUGACGGCUUUUAUUUUGGGGAUGAUGACAUAAAACCUACUCGCCCUGUCUGGAGGGUUGACAGUGAUCAAAACCUUUACGAUGCUGUGACCAACGGCGAUAUUGAAAUCAUAAAGGCUCAUUUGCGCCAGCCGUCUGCAGACAUCGAUCGACCACUGCGUGGCGGAAACACUCUUCUGCACCAUGCCUGCCAGCACGGUCACGUGGAAAUCGUGAAAUGCCUUCUUGAGAACGGAGCGGAUCCCAACCGGCAGGUAGAGUCCAUCACCCCUCUGAUGAGCGCCUGCUCAAGCGGCGCCGAUGGACCCGUCGUAGAGGAUAUCGUAAAGAUGCUAGUCGACAAAGGAGCGGUCGUGAACGUUUCCAACAAGCACGGCGUGACACCCUUCAUGUUCGCUUGCAUUCAUGGCCACUUGGAAGUGGUUGCAUUCCUCAUUCAAGCAGCGUUCUUGGAGGCAACCGACAACCAAGGCUGGACUGCUUUGUUCCACGCCAUCGAAAACAAUCAGCCAGAAGUGGUUAGCAUCCUUGUGAAAGCUGGAGCAGAUGUAAACGUGGCUAACCGAAAAGGCUACGCGCCACGGCAAGUCGCGCAGUUUCAUGGAUUCUACGACAUUCUUGAUAUUCUCCCGGCUGAAGAGCACCAAUAUACGGUUCCUACGAAUUACCUCUCGUACAGUUCGUUAAGUGACCACAUUCCAUGUUUGUUCCUAAAAACAGACGUCCCCGCAUAUUUCCCUGACAUUGACUCGAUUCUGCGUAACGCGCGCCUGCAGCGGUUCUUGGAGAACUUCGCAAAACAUAAAAUAAAUCUAAAUCAAUUCUUGACCAUGACGGACGACAAACUGAGCAAAAUUGAUAUUUCCUUGCCCCUCCAUCGUAAGCAAAUUCUAUUAGCGUUGCUGAGAUAUCAUCUGGAGCACUGGUCCACGCAGUCAAUAGCUCGAGUGAAGCGCAAGGAUCGAGACUCAUUCUACGACAUCCUCAUGAUAAUCUCGAACCACCUGAAAAACGUAGUGAUCAUCAGUUCGUCGCUCGAAUACAUACAGCAAAACAUUGAGACCAACAAGCUUGGGCCAAUAUCGUCAACGACAAUCAAGGAGUGCAAGGAGACGGUCGUGAAAUAUAAGAAAUCCAUUCGAAAACUACAAGAGGCGACAAAAUAUUUGCAUUCAUUCAGCCCGGAACGGCCUCCGCUCUAUAUAAAUUACGACGAGACAAUAAAAGCAGAAAAGAAGGCCAUGCUGCACCGCUAUUUCAAUUAUUCGCUGGCCAUUGGAGUUGCCAUUGUAGCUAUCUUGAAAUGGAAAAGGUUUCUCUAAGAUGCUCCACUUUUCAAAAGUCCACGCUGCACAGCACUCAAAAUGAGGAUAGCACUGAGGCCAUUUCAACCACUUUGUGAUCUACAUCGAUUUUUGAAAAGUGAAAAGGGUGGCAAUAAGUCGUGUUCACCGGCUUAUGAAUAUCCUUUCAUAUUAACAAUAA